RNAcentral lists this long non-coding RNA (1359 nucleotides) under Gallus gallus (chicken). The record is from RNAcentral. Lineage: Eukaryota; Metazoa; Chordata; Aves; Galliformes; Phasianidae.
CUCCCACUCCGCCACACUCCCGCCGCGGGGGGCCGGGGUCGCUCGGCUCGCGCCGCUCAGCUCCCGCCGGGUCUCACCUGGGCGAGGGCGGCUUGGGAGGACGGGCCGCGCCUACGGGGAAGGCGGGCGACUGGGCGGGGAUGGGCGCGUUUAAAAUGGCGGCGGGCGGGAUGUGGCGUGCUCGCUUAGCGGGCCGCGGCUGGCGGCCGUUGGUUGCGCGGAGCCGAGCGUUCUCGUUCGCUUCGGGCCGCCCGCAAACCUUUUUUCCACAGAGUGAGUAAAAACUGGCUAAUCGUGCAGACUGAGGGCAGCUGGCCUCGAGAGGGCUGCGGAUGGCUCCUGCCGGGGUGACGUUAUUGUCACUCAGGGUGUGCACAGUGCAUGGCGGCCACGUGAAGUGGUGAAGCACAAACGUGACCAAGAAAUCUCUCGGCAAAGCUCUUUGGCCACUUAAUCUAUAAGACUUAACUCGUGGGGUUUUUUUUUUUUUUGAGAAGAAUGUGGGAAGCCACACCCCUGCCCCUGGUUUUUAAGAAAUUAGCUAACUUCUGGCUCUUCAGUUUAAGAGGAGAUUUUGCAAUGAAGGAGGAUACCAUAGAGUGUGUAUGCUGGAGUAGCAUGAAGCAUUAGGAGGCAAGAUACUGGUUAUGGUGGGUCAAAAUGGUCUAUUCUAUUCUGACAUUUCCUAUAUUCUUUUUCAGUGCCUGUAUUUGUCCUGAUUGCUUGUUUUUUUUCUUUUUCUUUUUUUUUUUUUUGGUCUUCUUUCCAACUUUUAUUUUUACUGGCAAGAUAGAAAAAGAAGUCAAUAUGUAGUUUGACACAGCUCAUCCAACUUGUCAGAUUUUUGUUUAGUGUCUUGAUACUGUGGUUUCACAUAUUUCUUGUUCACAUUGUUAGGGUAUAAGGUUUUCCACAGUAUGCACCACAUAUAAAUGUCUGUGCUGUGGUAUCUCUUAAAUUAAUCUUUUUGAAUUAGUGUCGGGUUUUGAAGCAGUGCAAGUACUUCUAAAUGAAACUCUCUGUAUGAUUGCAAUUCAGAUAAACAUAAAUCUCAAAUACAGGUUUUGAGAAUUGAAGGGUAUUGCAAUUUUCACUGACUUCCUUGGUGUUGAAUCAAUGGAUACCAUACUCUGUUUUCCAUUUAUGGAAUUGUUCUGUGAACAAAAAAACUUCCAAACCACAGGUUUCCUUGAGAUUUUCUGCCCUUAAUUCCUCUAGUCAGUUUCCUCUGUCUCUUUGUGACUGCCUAAAACAACCCCCCAACUUCUCUUUUUCUCCUGUAUUUUCAUAUUCUCACAUCUUCUGUCUCUUAUCCCACAUCUCAGCCGUUCUUAUUGUUUUCUGAAAACUUAUCUUCCC